GCCGGUGUGGCGGAACUGGCAGACGCAGCGGAUUCAAAAUCCGCCGCCCCCUAAAGGCUUGCAGGUUCGAUUCCUGUCACCGGCA
RNAcentral lists this transfer RNA (85 nucleotides) under bacterium. RNAcentral describes it as "tRNA-Leu". It matches the Rfam family "tRNA". From Rfam's summary of the family: Transfer RNA (tRNA) molecules are approximately 80 nucleotides in length. RNAcentral also lists the same sequence under 3 other names. The record is from RNAcentral.